AGUGUCCUUACACCUGCUACAAGCCAGUCAACUCAACUGGCAUCAAGAUUGGAAUUCUGAAACGGAAUUCAAUUCGAAUCGUUUACGUAUUCCGUUUCAAACGCAACAAACGGAACGUACACGGAAUCGGUUGUUAAAAAAAACACUCCAGAAAUGAUACAACAAUUUUUGAGAAUUUAUUUUACGACUUUGAUUUACUUCAUUCUGAGCAAAAACAAAAUCCAGCAUUCUGAAUUUUAAAAUUCGGUCUUAUGGAUUUCAAAAAUUAUUUAUGUUUUGGAAUUUCGGAACUGAUGUUACUUGAGCAGGGAAACGUUAGCAGGGAAAAUUUUAGUUCUCGUAUUGGUCACCAGAUGGCGUCAUUGAAAUUCAAUUUCCCUGCUCACUUCACAUCGUCAGCAGGGAAAAAAUUGUGAAGACAGCAGGGAAAGUGAAAUUUCCCUGCUAACGUAAAUAGGAUUUUUUUAACUAUAAUUUUUAUCGUAAAUGCAAUCUUUUCAACAAUAUAUUUGCUUUGAUGUAUAAUUAGUUUUUUUACGUAUUUCAAUGCCUUCGAAUCUGAACAAAUAUUUUCCUUGCUAACGUAUCAGUUACUGAGCCAGAAGAAAAUUCAUGAAUCAUAAAUCACAAAAAUCGGCGUUUUCAAACCAAAAUAAUAAUUUAAGUUUAAAUUUACAUUCAAACUUUUAUACAAAUGUACUCAAAUAUGUUGGUGUAAAAUAUUUUCAAAUCAUUCCUGUUCUUCAAGUGUUCAGCAGUGAAUUCUAUCAUUGGGGCGUGGCUUAUUAUUGUGAUGAGCAUUUUUCUUGCUAACUUCACAGUAACCAAGCUUUUUGUUUUUUUUUAUACAGGCUAAGGUCAUGUAGAACUAUUUAAAAAAAUAAAUGAGUAGGUAUCUAUUUAAUUUAACACUAGCACAUUUUACUACCUUUUCAUAAAAGUACGAUUGUAAUGUAAACUCAAAUAAAUAUUUUGUUUGAAAUAACAAUAUCACAUCUUUUCUGGUUGGAUAACUCUUAAAGAUUUGGAUUUCCUUGCAAAUAUUUCUGUACCAUUAACCGCUUGGUAUUAGAAUUUUAUUUUAAAACAAUUAAAUUUCUAUUUUUUCGAAAUUUAUAUUUUUUUUUCAGACAGUCCCAGAAUCAAUUUUUUAAGUGAAGUCCCAGACAAAUCAAAAUUUUUUCCCUGCUAACGUAACAGUUUACUGAGUUAAGUGUUACUUCAGCAGGGAAAACGUAGGCCACGUCCCGCAAACGACCCACAACGUCGUCAGCAGGGCAAAUAGUUGUGAAGACCGCAGAUUUAUGUUUUUUUACAGGGCCAUGUAUGGUGGCAAAGCUUUCACCUCAUAUGCGGUAGUUUGAGAGUUCAAUUGCAUUUGAUAUUUUUUCCCGAACUUAUAUGGACACCUUAGGGAAAUCAACCAAUACCGUAAACUGGGGUCAAUCGGGACACAUGGGGCGAAUUAGGACAGCAGAGACAUGAAAUGACAUGAGAAUCGAUUCCAUCAAACAAAUCAUGAAAAUGUUGGCAAUUGUUAAUUAGACGAUUAAAAAUGUAAAAAUUGAGCAAAAAGGGUUGGUCAAGCCUGAUUUAGCUAAUGGAGGAGAAGCUGUAUAUUUUUCAUGUUAAAUAACGUAACAGUUACUGAGCCAGAAAUAAACUUGCCAGAAGAAGCUAGUGUAAAAUUAAAUACAAACUACUAAUUUAUUUUUUAAAUAGUUCUACACAGACCUUAGCUUGUAUAUAAAAAAAACAAAAAGCUUGGUAACUGUGACAAAAAAAAACUGUGAAGUUAGCAAGGAAAAUGCUCAUCACAAUAAUAAGCCACGCCCCAAUGAUAGAAUUCACUGCUGAACACUUGAAGAACAGGAAUGAUUUGAAAAUAUUUUACACCAACAUAUUUGAGUACAUUUGUAUAAAAGUUUGAAUGUAAAUUUAAACUUAAAUUAUUAUUUUGGUUUGAAAACGCCGAUUUUUGUGAUUUAUGAUUCAUGAAUUUUCUUCUGGCUCAGUAACUGAUACGUUAGCAAGGAAAAUAUUUGUUCAGAUUUGAAGGCAUUGAAAUACGUAAAAAAACUAAUUUAAGAGCGAGUUUUUCACCGAUGUGAAACAGGUCGUAUCGAGCAGAAUCUACAAAUACUGCCUCUUAAAUACAUCAAAGCAAAUAUAUUGUUGAAAAGAUUGCAUUUACGAUAAAAAUUAUAGUUUAAAAAAUUCCUAUUUGCGUUAGCAGGGAAAUUUCACUUUCCCUGCUGUCUUCACAAUUUUUUCCCUGCUGACGAUGUGAAGUGAGCAGGGAAAUUGGAUUUCAAUGACGCCAUCUGGUGACCAAUACGAGAACUAUAAUUUUCCCUGCUAACGUUUCCCUGCUGAAGUAAUAUCAGUAUUUCGGAUAGCAAAACAAUUGAAACUAUAGCUCUGCGUUAUUCAUUAAGAAGAAAUACUUCAAAUUUGUUUAUUACAUACUCACUAUCAUGAAUUUACGGUUCAAUUAGUUGCUCGUGUAUCUAAACUGGUUGAUGGAAACUAUUUUAGGAUCGCUAUAGACUUUUCCCUCGUUUUUCUCGAGUUGAAAGUUUAUGUGUUUAAUAUUGUUUGUUGGUUUAUCAUUGUUUAUUCUAGUGUAUGUAUCAAUUCACACAAACUCUGGGCAGCGGGGAUGUUUCUCCCCGCUUUAGCCUCAGAAUUGUGUGUUUUAUUUUAAUUUUUGCUUGCCCUUUGUUGAUCAUAAUUUUUUUGAUGUCGAAAUAGUAGAGGUUAAAUACAUUUAUAUGAUUUUUUUUUGUGUUUCACAUUCCAAACAGUUUAGUUUACUAAGAUUAUUUUUACCAUUUUUUUUUCUUUCUUUUUCUCACGGUUUAAUGCGAAGAAGAGUAGGAACAUAAAAAGAUUGAAAAUAAUUUUCCAGAUACUUCUCCAUUUUCCCUAAAUUGACCGUCAACAAACAAGUUGGAUUGCCAAAUGCUUCUAGUUUUUUUUAUUUUGCUUUUUCCUGAAUAGUUCCUGUUAGUUUAAAAUUGGGAGGAAAUAAUACGGUCAGUGUGUUGAGGAUUACCUUCUGAUACGAACAUUUUUCAAAGAUCCUGGCAAAGGUUGAUAGUUAUACGUUUAGUUUUUUCUCAAUUUGUUUUCUUGAUUUAGUUUUUAUCUUCAUGUAGUGCGAUAUAUUUCAGAUCAAAAGUGA
This is a long non-coding RNA of Culex pipiens pallens (northern house mosquito), 3187 nucleotides long. RefSeq lists it as uncharacterized. The record is from RefSeq and is a predicted model, not a curated record. The transcript has 2 exons. NCBI's taxonomy places the organism in Eukaryota, Metazoa, Arthropoda, Insecta, Diptera, Culicidae.